This 85-nucleotide transfer RNA is filed under the name Felis catus (domestic cat). It matches the Rfam family "tRNA". Rfam says of the family: Transfer RNA (tRNA) molecules are approximately 80 nucleotides in length. Their secondary structure includes four short double-helical elements and three loops (D, anti-codon, and T loops). Lineage: Eukaryota; Metazoa; Chordata; Mammalia; Carnivora; Felidae. RNAcentral also lists the same sequence under 2 other names. The record is from Rfam by way of RNAcentral.
GCCUGGGUGGCUCAGUCGGUUGAGCGUCUGACUUCAGCUCAGGUCAUGAUCUCACGGUCUGUGAGUUCGAGCCCCGCAUCGGGCU